CCUACGGGUGGCAGCAGUAGGGAAUAUUGCUCAAUGGGGGAAACCCUGAAGCAGCAACGCCGCGUGGAGGAUGAAGGUUUUCGGAUUGUAAACUCCUUUUGUUAGAGAAGAUAAUGACGGUAUCUAACGAAUAAGCACCGGCUAACUCCGUGCCAGCAGCCGUGGUAAUACGGAGGGUGCAAGCGUUACUCGGAAUCACUGGGCGUAAAGAGCGCGUAGGCGGGAUAGCAAGUCAGAGGUGAAAUCCUAUGGCUUAACCAUAGAACUGCAUUUGAAACUGUUAUUCUAGAGUAUGGGAGGGGUGGGUGGAAUUGUGGGUGUAGGGGGAAAUGCCGAGGAGAUCAAGAGAAAUACGCAUGGCGAGGGCGACCUGCUAGAACAUAACGGACGCUGAUGCGCGAAGGCGUGGGGAGCAAACAGGAUUGGAUACCCCUUAGUC
Molecule: ribosomal RNA, 439 nt
Filed under: uncultured bacterium
Lineage: Bacteria
Description: partial 16S ribosomal RNA
Rfam family: Bacterial small subunit ribosomal RNA
Source: RNAcentral